Small nucleolar RNA from Chinchilla lanigera (long-tailed chinchilla), 73 nucleotides. Ensembl annotates it as small nucleolar RNA, C/D box 61. Its record names the gene SNORD61. The record is from Ensembl. Lineage: Eukaryota; Metazoa; Chordata; Mammalia; Rodentia; Chinchillidae.
GCUGUGAUGAAUUUGAUUGCAUUGAUCAUCUGACAUGAGAAUUUAUUUUUGUCCUCUAAGAAGUUCUGAGCUU